AUGCCUCUGCGCAAAGACCUUGGGGCUCUCCUUGUACGUGUGUGUGUGUUUCCUGAGAGUUUCUUCCAUGGGUGUGUGUUCGAGAGAAACCACGAGAGGAAGAGUAGUCAGAGGAAGAAGAAGAAGCGGCGCUGCGAGGAGGCGGCGCCAACAUUUGGCAUCAGAGCCUUGUCGAUCCGUGAGGAGACGGUGGCGGUGACGACGACGCGGCGGACUCCAUGUGACGUGGAGGACGUCCGCGCGAGAUGGAGGCCAUUGGCGGCGCGAUGCCGCUGGUGGCCGGUUGCGGUGCGAUGCCGCAAGAUGAUGAUGGUGUGGUGA
This 321-nucleotide ribosomal RNA is filed under the name Triticum aestivum (bread wheat). Its description in RNAcentral is "partial small subunit ribosomal RNA". The record is from RNAcentral. Lineage: Eukaryota; Viridiplantae; Streptophyta; Magnoliopsida; Poales; Poaceae.